This 267-nucleotide signal recognition particle RNA is filed under the name Candidatus Zixiibacteriota bacterium. Its description in RNAcentral is "signal recognition particle sRNA large type". It matches the Rfam family "Bacterial large signal recognition particle RNA". Rfam says of the family: The signal recognition particle (SRP) is a universally conserved ribonucleoprotein involved in the co-translational targeting of proteins to membranes. Archaeal SRP consists of a 7S RNA and homologues of the eukaryotic SRP19 and SRP54 proteins. Lineage: Bacteria; Pseudomonadati; Candidatus Zixiibacteriota. The record is from RNAcentral.
CCGUGCUAGAUGGGGAGUUAGCGGUGCCCUGUUGCCCGGAAUCCGCUAUACCGGGAUCGAAUCCCCACCUUAGAUCUUCUCCUCCGGGAGAGGGGAGAGGUAAGAGGUGAUGAAGGUCAGGUCUUGCGCAACUCAAGCUUACCUAACCCCGUCAGGACCGGAAGGUAGCAGCGGUAAGUAAAACCUUGAGUGUGCCGUAAGGCAGCCUGGCUGGAGCUUAACUGCCUUGUAACUUCCCCUGAUGAGGGAACAAGGGUGGGUGCACGG